Molecule: non-coding RNA, 123 nt
Organism: Podarcis lilfordi (Lilford's wall lizard)
Lineage: Eukaryota; Metazoa; Chordata; Lepidosauria; Squamata; Lacertidae
Source: the annotation of a GenBank genome assembly
UGUCCAGUAGCACCUUAGAAACUAACUAAGUUUAUUCUUGGUAUAAGCUUUUGUGAAGUGUCCAUGCACACGAAAUCCUAUACCAAGAACAAACUUAGGUGGUCUCUAAGGUGCUACUGGACA